CAGCAGCCGCGGGAAUACGUAGGGUGCAAGCGUUAAUCGGAAUUACUGGGCGUAAAGCGUGCGCAGGCGGUUAUAUAAGACAGAUGUGAAAUCCCCGGGCUCAACCUGGGAACUGCAUUUGUGACUGUAUAGCUAGAGUACGGCAGAGGGGGAUGGAAUUCCGCGUGUAGCAGUGAAAUGCGUAGAUAUGCGGAGGAACACCGAUGGCGAAGGCAAUCCCCUGGGCCUGUACUGACGCUCAUGCACGAAAGCGUGGGUAGCAAACAGGAUUAGAGACCCCCGUAGUCCCUGUCUCUUAUAC
This 301-nucleotide ribosomal RNA is filed under the name uncultured bacterium. Its description in RNAcentral is "partial 16S ribosomal RNA". It matches the Rfam family "Bacterial small subunit ribosomal RNA", at positions 509 to 807 of the family's 1533-position model. The record is from RNAcentral.